GACAGAGGGUGCAAACGUUGCUCGGAAUUACUGGGCGUAAAGCGCGUGUAGGUGGAUUGGUGUGUCAGAUGUGAAAUCCCUGGGCUCAACCCAGGAACUGCACCUGAAACUACCAGUCUUGAGUGGUGGAGAGGGAAGUGGAAUUCCUGGUGUAGAGGUGAAAUUCGUAGAUAUCGGGAGGAACACCGGUGGCGAAGGCGGCGACCUGGGUAGAUACUGACGCUGAGGCGCGAAAGCGUGGGGAGCAAACAGG
This 253-nucleotide ribosomal RNA is filed under the name uncultured bacterium. RNAcentral describes it as "partial 16S ribosomal RNA". It matches the Rfam family "Bacterial small subunit ribosomal RNA", at positions 524 to 776 of the family's 1533-position model. The record is from RNAcentral.